RNAcentral lists this transfer RNA (73 nucleotides) under Ovis aries (sheep). It matches the Rfam family "tRNA". From Rfam's summary of the family: Transfer RNA (tRNA) molecules are approximately 80 nucleotides in length. Lineage: Eukaryota; Metazoa; Chordata; Mammalia; Artiodactyla; Bovidae. The record is from Rfam by way of RNAcentral.
GCCCCAGAGGCCUAGUGGAUCAGGCACUGGCCUCCUAAGCCAGGGACUGUGCGUUCAAUUCCCACUUGGGGUA